AUAGGACCCAACGGGUACUAUGUUUGGAAUGAGUACAAUUUAAAAACCUUAACGAGGAACAAUUGGAGGGCAAGUCUGGUGCCAGCAGCCGCGGUAAUUCCAGCUCCAAUAGUGUAUAUUAAAGUUGCUGCGGUUAAAAAGCUCGUAGUUGGAUUUUCGGAGUUGUUAUCUGAACCUUCUCGCCCUAAAAAGUGGGGGGGCUAAGGUAGCAGUAGUUUUCAUCAUAGUCCAUCAGGAUACUCUCUUGAUGUGUACUGGGGUGUUAACCUCCUUUUUUUCUGGUACUUGCUAUCCAGCAAUGGGGUAGUUUUUGUCCAGAUAGUUUACUUUGAAAAAAUUAGAGUGUUCAAAGCAGGCAUAAUUGGCAUCAUGAAUACCAUUAGCAUGGGGAUAAUAGAAUAUGACAUUGGUCUUAUUUGUUGGUUCUAAGGCCAAGUAAUGAUUGAUAGGGA
RNAcentral lists this ribosomal RNA (452 nucleotides) under uncultured eukaryote. RNAcentral describes it as "partial 18S ribosomal RNA". It matches the Rfam family "Eukaryotic small subunit ribosomal RNA", at positions 485 to 878 of the family's 1831-position model. The record is from RNAcentral.